Molecule: long non-coding RNA, 384 nt
Filed under: Homo sapiens (human)
Lineage: Eukaryota; Metazoa; Chordata; Mammalia; Primates; Hominidae
Description: non-protein coding lnc-VPS13A-3:1
Source: RNAcentral
AUGGGAGAUAAGCUGAUUUGGAAGCAAACUGAAUCCAGCUUCAUUCAACAUUACUACCAGUUAUUUGAUAAAGAUACAACCCGAAUAGGUACAAUUUACAUUGACGCGUCAUGCCUUAGGUGGGAAGGACAGCAAUGACAGGGGAAAGCUGCCAUUGUGGAGAAGUUGUCUAGCCUUCUGUUCCAGAAAAUCCAGUACAGCAUCACAGGCACAGGACAAUUAGCCCACACCAGAUAGCUGCAUCAUCAGCAUGGUUGUGGGUGAGCUUAAGGUAGAUGAAGACCCCAUCAUCGGGUUCCACCAGAUGUUCCUAUUAAAGAAUAUCAGUGAAGCUUGGGUUUGCACCAAUGACAUGUUCAGGCUUGCCCUGCUCACUUCGGCUGA